RNAcentral lists this long non-coding RNA (4059 nucleotides) under Sus scrofa (pig). RNAcentral describes it as "lncRNA (ENSSSCG00040069542.1)". Lineage: Eukaryota; Metazoa; Chordata; Mammalia; Artiodactyla; Suidae. The record is from RNAcentral.
CUGGGUGUGAGUACAGCCACUUAAGAGUCACUUUGUAUAACCCAUCACCCUGAAGUUCUAUUGUUAAUAGCUGCCCCAGAGAGAGACUUAAACCAUGUACCAAAGGAAGCACCUACAAGGAUCUUCAUGUAAUGUUAUUUUUAACAGUGAGAAAUUAAGGGAGUUCCUGUUGUGGCUCAGUGGAAAUGACUAGUAUCCAUGAGGAUGUGGGUUCGAUCCCUGGCCUAGCUCAGUGGGUUAAAGAUACCACGUUGCUGUGAGCUGUGGUGUAAGCCGGUGGCUGUAGCUCCAAUUUGACCCCGAGUUUGGGAACUUUCAUAUGUAGUGGGUACGGCCCUAAAAAGCAAGAAGAAAAACCACUAAAUAGAUAAUUGUACACCUUUUUUUUAAAGGAUUUUUAUUUUUUCUAUUAUAGGUGAUUUACAUUGUUCUGUCAAUUUCUGUUGUACACCAAGUACCCAGUGAUACAUACAUAUAUGUGUGUGUGUGUGUGUGUGUGUAUAUAUAUAUAUAUAUUCUUUUUCUCACAUUAUCCUCCAUCAUGUUCCAUCACAAGUAACUAGAUAUACUUCCCUGUGCUAUACAGCAGGAUCUUGUACACACUUUUUGUGGAAAAUAUGCUGCAGUUUUCUAAAAUGAGGUGGACCUAAAUAUACUGACAUAAAAAAUUGUUUAAGCCAUAUAAAAACAUAUACACACAUAGAUAUCUUUUCUAUGGGCAACUCCUUGAAGAAAAGUCUGGAAGCAUAUACAUUAUGUUGCUAAUAUUUGUAGAAAGAGGACUAAAAUAGGGGGCAUUGGAGAAGGGAAAAAUCAAAGGGUACAAACAAAACACAAGCCCCUCUAAUUUUCAAAUCACCCUUUUACAUAAAAUGUCACUUACUCCUUAUAUUGACCUUAUGGUGUAAGCAUCAUUUCCACUUACAGAUGAGGGAACCUCAGCUGAGAGAUGCUAAGCCACUCUUACAAACACAACUAGUAGAGAAAUCCCUGGGCUUGAGGCUCUACUUUCCCCAGGCUCCAGAAGGAUUAGGUGGUUAGGUUAAUUGGAACUUGUCUUUGUCACUUUUCACUUUUAAUGAUUUCUCACUGUUUUAAGUGAAAGACACUUUGAGGUACCUCAGACAAUCUACCAUCUGUCAGAGUGAGGAGGGGAAAGAAAACAAUUUGCAAGCUAUCAAAAGAUAGUCCUGAUAUUUAAGAUUCUCUACCUUGCAUUUUCCAGGUGGGAACUUAGGGUCAGGCGUCAAAGGACCAGAGCAUCUGCACCCUAGCUUCUCCCACUGUGGAGUACAAAACUCUGCCCUCAAGUAGCAGGAGGAGCAGGGAAGCGGGAGGCAGUGGGGACAAGAACUGAGCUUUGACUGCCAUUCCCCCAGUGGCUAAGAGCUGCAGAGCCCCUGGUGGGGGUUAGGGAGGGCCCCUGGGGACCUGGGCCUUGCCUUCAAGAGCUCUGAUUCCUUCAUCUUAAUGAUAGCUUCAAAUGAGGUUUGGUUGUUCUUAGCAAGUACAUUUACUGAAACCAUUGAUGUGUCAAAUGUGAACAAAAAUACCACAUUUUUGGUAACUCUAGGAAUUUUCUUCUUCUCUUGUCCCCUACUUCCCCUCCCUCUGUUUCCCUUCUCUCUUCUCCUCUCCCUCCCUCCUUCCUUCAUUCACAGAGAGGGCUUAGUGGCUGGCCUUUCCUUUAAUUUCAUACCAAGUUUGAUACAAAUUUCUUAGUGUAGUCUCUAUCAGCAGUACAGUUGCUAAUUUCAAACACUAAAAAAAAGUUGUAAGUGGGUAAUGGAUAAUAUUUUGAUUGAAUAAUUGAUUUGAUAUAAUAAUUCUCCAGGCUUUCUUGUACCUAUUGGCUUUCUCAUACUGCUGGGGAGAGAGGGGUAGGAUCCUAGAUGCUCUGCCCUCAGGAGAGAGCUGACAAAGAGACAAAGUCUUAACUCUGAGUUCUAAAAUAGAUAAGAUAUAUGCAUAGCAAGAAGGAAAGUCUUGAAAGUCAAGGUUUCUGUUGUAAGAGUUGGGUUUUUGAGACAGAAGGAUUUUAAAUUCUGAAAGUUGGGCUUGGGCCAUCAAUAACUAGUGACCUCAGGAUACAGUUCCUGAGAGCCCACCAUGGGCAUGUCUUCUCAACUCCAUGUUCAGUAACUUAAAAUCAACCAUGGUAAAAGUGUGUGUUCAGGGAGUUCCCACUAAGCUGCAGUGGGUUAAAGAUCUGGCUUGCCUCUGUGGAGGCGCUGGUUUGAUCCCCAGCCUGGCACAGUGGGUUAAGGAUCCAGUGUUGGUGCAGUUAUGUCAUAGGUCACAGCUGUGGUUCAGAUUGGAUCCCUGGCCUGGGAACUUCCAUAUGCCAUGGGUGUCACUAGAAAAAAAAAAAUAGAAAUGUGUUCACCAUGGAAGUUGGCAAAUCCUCAAACCAGGGCCUUUUUCCUAGAGAGUCUGUUGUUAACAUUUUGGAAGGCGGGGAACUAGGAGAAAAGAGCACAGGCGAACUGCUGUGUAGACCCUUCAUGAGCUGAACUCAUGGUGGGGGGAGGUAGACAGAUAAAUUUCCACAUAGGGCUGGAGAUAAGAGGCCAGGUUAUUGCAUCUCAUUUCCUACCUGCAGCUCUGUGAGAAGGUUGCAGCUGCAGAGUGCUGUGUGUGAAAAUGGGCAGGAAUAACAGCAGGGCAGGUCUAGGUGUAGGGACCACAUGGGAGAGCUGGUCUCCCUGCCCCGCAACCCUCAAUCCCCCCUCAACUCUUUUAAGGCCAAAGAGUCCAUAGAGACUUCCUGUUGGACCCUGAAUUGAGCAGAGAUCAGCUCACAUUCUUGGAGUGCAGGGGCUAGUGGGGUCAUUGAUGUUCCCUUGGGGUCACCUUUUCCACCAGUUCCUCCUUUGCUAUGUUUUUCUCACUAAUGGAAUCCCAUUUAAUGGUCAGCCACCUAAGGAUCUCAUUUAAGAUACAUCCUGUAGAGUUCCCCCAUCUCAAUGUUUAGUUCAUUAAAAUGCAGCAUUGGCGUUCUUGUGGCUCAGUGGAUUAAUAACCUGACAUAGUGUCUGUGGAGAUGUGGGUUUGAUCCCUGGACUUGCUCAGUUGGUUAAGGAUUCAGCAUUGCUAAGCUGUGGUGUAGGUUGCAAAUGCAGCUCAAAUCUGGCGUUACUGUGGCUGUAGGUAGGCUGACAGCUACAGCUCCGAUUCAACCCCUAGCCUGGGCACUUAAUAUGCCACAGGUGCAGCCAUAAAAAGAAAAAAUAAUAAUAAAAAUAAAAUGCAGCAUUGAACAUCAGAAAAUUAGGAAUAAAAUUCCCCCAGAAGGUUGAGUCUGCUGUAGGUUUCCUCAUGGCUUGAUAGACACAGAUUCCUGUGGCCCCUUUUAAAAAUAUAAGUCUCUCCUAUGAUAGAAAAAGAAGAGAAGGAAGAUAGGUGAAAACCGUAGAAAAUGGCAGCUGAAAAUCUGAUGGAAAAAGGAAAGGGGGACACCUGCAGGACAGCCAGACUGCAAUGAGAGUGAAAGGAACAGGGAAAUAGAAACAAACAAGUUACAACACCAAAGUGAGCCACAGAGGAAACAUGGAGAAGAAAAUGGAUUCUCUGAGAAAUAUUGUACAGAGGAUGCUGCACCACAAAGCAACAAGAUCUAUGGAUGCACAAAACUAACAGAGAAAGAAGAGUCGUGAGUUCCAGUGUGACAGGAGCCCCUGAUUUCUCUACUUCCUGGGAUUGAGUUAGAGGUGGGCAGCUACUCCAUGGUUCCAUAAUGCUGUAGAAAAACAGGUUCCUUCAUGGCUUGCCAAACAUGUGUACAGGCCUGUGAGAGGCAAUUGCUAAAUUUUCAGGAAUUUUGCUAAACAGUUAUUUUAAAAAUUAUGUUAGGAGGUUCCUGUCGUGGCUUAGCGGAAAUGAAUCUGAUUAGUAUCCAUGACCAUACAGAUUCAGUCCCUGGCCUCAGUCAGUGGGUUAAGGAUCCAGCAUUGCCGUGAGCUGUGGUGUAGUUCGCAGACGAGGCUUGGAUCUGGUGUUGCUGUGGCUGUGGCUGUGGCUGUGGCCUGCAGCUACAGCUCUGAUUUGACUCCUAGCCUG